RNAcentral lists this ribosomal RNA (468 nucleotides) under uncultured bacterium. Its description in RNAcentral is "partial 16S ribosomal RNA". It matches the Rfam family "Bacterial small subunit ribosomal RNA", at positions 28 to 507 of the family's 1533-position model. The record is from RNAcentral.
GACGAACGCUGGCGGCGUGCUUAACACAUGCAAGUCGAACGGAAAGGCCCUGCUUUUGUGGGGUGCUCGAGUGGCGAACGGGUGAGUAACACGUGAGUAACCUGCCCUUGACUUUGGGAUAACUUCAGGAAACUGGGGCUAAUACCGGAUAGGAGCUCCUGCUGCAUGGUGGGGGUUGGAAAGUUUCGGCGGUUGGGGAUGGACUCGCGGCUUAUCAGCUUGUUGGUGGGGUAGUGGCUUACCAAGGCUUUGACGGGUAGCCGGCCUGAGAGGGUGACCGGCCACAUUGGGACUGAGAUAAGGCACAGCCUCCUACGGGAGGCAGCAGUGGGGAAUAUUGCACAAUGGGCGGAAGCCUGAUGCAGCAACGCCGCGUGCGGGAUGACGGCCUUCGGGUUGUAAACCGCUUUCGCCUGUGACGAAGCGUGAGUGACGGUAAUGGGUAAAGAAGCACCGGCUAACUACGUG